GACGAACCGUGCGAACGUUGUUCGGAAUCACUGGGCUUAAAGGGCGCGUAGGCGGCUUGCCAAGUCCGGGGUGAAAUCCUCCAGCUUAACUGGAGAAGUGCCCUGGAUACUGGCGAGCUCGAGCGAGGCAGGGGUUGUGGGAACUUCCGGUGGAGCGGUGAAAUGCGUUGAUAUCGGAAGGAACGCCGGUGGCGAAAGCGCACAACUAGUCCUCUUCUGACGCUGAGGCGCGAAAGCCAGGGGAGCAAACGGG
Molecule: ribosomal RNA, 253 nt
Filed under: uncultured bacterium
Lineage: Bacteria
Description: partial 16S ribosomal RNA
Rfam family: Bacterial small subunit ribosomal RNA
Source: RNAcentral